Molecule: ribosomal RNA, 473 nt
Filed under: uncultured soil bacterium
Lineage: Bacteria
Description: bacterial SSU rRNA
Rfam family: Bacterial small subunit ribosomal RNA
Source: RNAcentral
AGAACGAACGCUGGCGGCAGGCUUAACACAUGCAAGUCGAACGGGCGCAGCAAUACGUCAGUGGCAGACGGGUGAGUAACACGUGGGAACCUUCCUAGGGGUACGGAACAACUCAGGGAAACUUGAGCUAAUACCGUAUACGUCCGUGAGGAGAAAGAUUCAUCGCCCCUAGACGGGCCCGCGUCGGAUUAGGUAGUUGGUGGGGUAAAGGCCCACCAAGGCGACGAUCGGUAGCUGGUCUGAGAGGAUGAUCAGCCACACUGGAACUGAGACACGGUCCAGACUCCUACGGGAGGCAGCAGUGGGGAAUAUUGGACAAUGGGCGCAAGCCUGAUCCAGCCAUGCCGCGUGUGUGAAGAAGGCCUUCGGGUUGUAAAGCACUUUUGGUUGGGAAGAAAAGCGACGGGAUUAAUACCUUCGUGUUCUGACGGUACCAAAGAAUAAGCACCGGCUAACUUCGCGCCAGUAGCCGC